Molecule: ribosomal RNA, 492 nt
Filed under: uncultured bacterium
Lineage: Bacteria
Description: partial 16S ribosomal RNA
Rfam family: Bacterial small subunit ribosomal RNA
Source: RNAcentral
AGUGAGCGCUGGCGGUAGGCCUAACACAUGCAAGUCGAACGGCAGCACAGUAAGAGCUUGCUCUUACGGGUGGCGAGUGGCGGACGGGUGAGGAAUACAUCGGAAUCUACUUUUUCGUGGGGGAUAACGUAGGGAAACUUACGCUAAUACCGCAUACGACCUACGGGUGAAAGCAGGGGAUCUUCGGACCUUGCGCGAUUGAAUGAGCCGAUGUCGGAUUAGCUAGUUGGCGGGGUAAAGGCCCACCAAGGCGACGAUCCGUAGCUGGUCUGAGAGGAUGGAUAGGCCAAAUUGAAAUGAGAAAACGGCCAGACUUCCUAGGGAGGGCAGAGGUGGGGAAUUUCGACAAAUGGCGGAAAGCUUAAUCCAGCAAACCGGGGUGGGUGAAGAAGGCCUUCGGGUUGUAAAGCCCUUUUGUGGGGAAAGAAAAGCAGCGGGUUAAAACCCCGCUGUUUUGAGGGUACCAAAAGAAAAAGAACCGGCAAACUUCGU